RNAcentral lists this ribosomal RNA (495 nucleotides) under uncultured bacterium. RNAcentral's name for it is "partial 16S ribosomal RNA". It matches the Rfam family "Bacterial small subunit ribosomal RNA", at positions 28 to 507 of the family's 1533-position model. The record is from RNAcentral.
GACGAACGCUGGCGGCGUGCCUAAUACAUGCAAGUAGAACGCUGAAGGAGGAGCUUGCUUCUCUGGAUGAGUUGCGAACGGGUGAGUAACGCGUAGGUAACCUGCCUGGUAGCGGGGGAUAACUAUUGGAAACGAUAGCUAAUACCGCAUAAUAGUAGAUGUUGCAUGACAUUUACUUAAAAGGUGCAAUUGCAUCACUACCAGAUGGACCUGCGUUGUAUUAGCUAGUUGGUGGGGUAACGGCUCACCAAGGCGACGAUACAUAGCCGACCUGAGAGGGUGAUAGGCCACACUGGGACGGAGACACGGCCCAGACUCCUACGGGAGGCAGCAGUAGGGAAUCUUCGGCAAUAGACGAAAGUCUGACCGAGCAACGCCGCGUGAGUGAAGAAGGUUUUCGGAUCGUAAAGCUCUGUUGUAAGAGAAGAACGAGUGUGGGAGUGGAAAGUUCACACUGUGACGGUAUCUUACCAGAAAGGGACGGCUAACUACGUG